Molecule: ribosomal RNA, 484 nt
Filed under: uncultured bacterium
Lineage: Bacteria
Description: partial 16S ribosomal RNA
Rfam family: Bacterial small subunit ribosomal RNA
Source: RNAcentral
AUUGAACGCUGGCGGCAGGCCUAACACAUGCAAGUCGAGCGGAUGAAGGGAGCUUGCUCCUGGAUUCAGCGGCGGACGGGUGGGUAAUGCCUAGGAAUCUGCCUGGUAGUGGGGGAUAACGUCCGGAAACGGGCGCUAAUACCGCAUACGUCCUGAGGGAGAAAGUGGGGGAUCUUCGGACCUCACGCUAUCAGAUGAGCCUAGGUCGGAUUAGCUAGUUGGUGGGGUAAAGGCCUACAAAGGCGACGAUCCGUAACUGGUCUGAGAGGCUGAUCAGUCACACUGGAACUGAGACACGGUCCAGACUCCUACGGGAGGCAGCAGUGGGGAAUAUUGGACAAUGGGCGAAAGCCUGAUCCAGCCAUGCCGCGUGUGUGAAGAAGGUCUUCGGAUUGUAAAGCACUUUAAGUUGGGAGGAAGGGCAGUAAGUUAAUACCUUGCUGUUUUGACGGUACCAACAGAAUAAGCACCGGCUAACUUCGUG